Molecule: ribosomal RNA, 956 nt
Filed under: uncultured bacterium
Lineage: Bacteria
Description: bacterial SSU rRNA
Rfam family: Bacterial small subunit ribosomal RNA
Source: RNAcentral
GCGGCGUGCCUAACACAUGCAAGUCGAACGGAGUAGAAAAUGAAGCUUGCGAUUUUUAUACUUAGUGGCGGACGGGUGAGUAACGCGUGGAUAACCUGCCUGAUAGCCUGGGAUAACAGCUGGAAACGGCUGCUAAUACCGGAUACGCUCUUUGGGUCGCAUGGCUUAAAGAGGAAAGAUUUAUCACUAUCAGAUGGAUCCGCGUCCCAUUAGCUAGUUGGUGGUGUAGAGGACCACCAAGGCGACGAUGGGUAGCCGGCCUGAGAGGGCGAACGGCCACACUGGGACUGAGACACGGCCCAGACUCCUACGGGAGGCAGCAGUGGGGAAUCUUUCGCAAUGGGCGAAAGCCUGACGGAGCAACGCCGCGUGAGGGAAGAAGGCCUUCGGGUUGUAAACCUCUGUUUUCAGGGAAGAAAGAAAUGACGGUACCUGAAGAGUAAGCUCCGGCUAACUACGUGCCAGCAGCCGCGGUAAUACGUAGGGAGCAAGCGUUGUUCGGAAUUACUGGGCGUAAAGCGCACGUAGGCGGAUAUUUAAGUCAGGGGUGAAAUCCCGCAGCUCAACUGCGGAACUGCCUUUGAUACUGGGUAUCUUGAGUAUGGAAGAGGUAAGUGGAAUUCCGAGUGUAGAGGUGAAAUUCGUAGAUAUUCGGAGGAACACCAGUGGCGAAGGCGGCUUACUGGGCCUUAACUGACGCUGAGGCACGAAAGCGUGGGGAGCAAACAGGAUUAGCAUACCCUGGUAGUCCACGCCGUAAACGAUGGAUACUAGGUGUGGGGGGUCUGACCCCUUCCGUGCCGGAGUUAACACAAUAAGUAUCCCACCUGGGGAGUACGGCCGCAAGGUUGAAACUCAAAGGAAUUGACGGGGGCCCGCACAAGCAGUGGAGUAUGUGGUUUAAUUCGAAGCAACGCGAAGAACCUUACCAGGUCUUGACAUCCUACUAACGAAGC